RNAcentral lists this ribosomal RNA (711 nucleotides) under Pseudomonas sp. RNAcentral describes it as "bacterial SSU rRNA". It matches the Rfam family "Bacterial small subunit ribosomal RNA", at positions 37 to 743 of the family's 1533-position model. Lineage: Bacteria; Pseudomonadati; Pseudomonadota; Gammaproteobacteria; Pseudomonadales; Pseudomonadaceae. The record is from RNAcentral.
UGGCGGCAGGCCUAACACAUGCAAGUCGAGCGGUAGAGAGAAGCUUGCUUCUCUUGAGAGCGGCGGACGGGUGAGUAAUGCCUAGGAAUCUGCCUGGUAGUGGGGGAUAACGCUCGGAAACGGACGCUAAUACCGCAUACGUCCUACGGGAGAAAGCAGGGGACCUUCGGGCCUUGCGCUAUCAGAUGAGCCUAGGUCGGAUUAGCUAGUUGGUGAGGUAAUGGCUCACCAAGGCGACGAUCCGUAACUGGUCUGAGAGGAUGAUCAGUCACACUGGAACUGAGACACGGUCCAGACUCCUACGGGAGGCAGCAGUGGGGAAUAUUGGACAAUGGGCGAAAGCCUGAUCCAGCCAUGCCGCGUGUGUGAAGAAGGUCUUCGGAUUGUAAAGCACUUUAAGUUGGGAGGAAGGGCAGUAACCUAAUACGUUAUUGUUUUGACGUUACCGACAGAAUAAGCACCGGCUAACUCUGUGCCAGCAGCCGCGGUAAUACAGAGGGUGCAAGCGUUAAUCGGAAUUACUGGGCGUAAAGCGCGCGUAGGUGGUUUGUUAAGUUGAAUGUGAAAUCCCCGGGCUCAACCUGGGAACUGCAUCCAAAACUGGCAAGCUAGAGUAGGGCAGAGGGUGGUGGAAUUUCCUGUGUAGCGGUGAAAUGCGUAGAUAUAGGAAGGAACACCAGUGGCGAAGGCGACCACCUGGGCUCAUACUGA